Molecule: non-coding RNA, 133 nt
Filed under: Clostridiaceae bacterium
Lineage: Bacteria; Bacillati; Bacillota; Clostridia; Eubacteriales; Clostridiaceae
Description: MoCo sequence
Rfam family: Molybdenum/Tungsten riboswitch aptamer (Moco RNA motif)
Source: RNAcentral
CUAAAUUUGAUUCUCCGAGUCUUUAUUCCUACGGUUAAGUCUAAGGAAUAAAGAACUGAGUAACGUACUCACGGGGUAUGGUUGGAAACGGCUGUGCCUCCACAUUUUGGAAAGGAGAAAAAAUAAGGAUGUA